RNAcentral lists this ribosomal RNA (450 nucleotides) under uncultured Glomus. RNAcentral describes it as "SSU rRNA". It matches the Rfam family "Eukaryotic small subunit ribosomal RNA", at positions 569 to 1023 of the family's 1831-position model. The record is from RNAcentral. Lineage: Eukaryota; Fungi; Glomeromycota; Glomeromycetes; Glomerales; Glomeraceae.
AGCAGCCGCGGUAAUUCCAGCUCCAAUAGCGUAUAUUAAAGUUGUUGCAGUUAAAAAGCUCGUAGUUGAAUUUCGGGGUUAGCAGGUUGGUCGUGCCAAUGGUAUGCACUGGCCUUGCUGAUUCCUCCCUCUUGUAGAACCGUAAUGCCAUUAAGUUGGUGUUGCGGGGAAACAGGACUGUUACUUUGAAAAAUUAGAGUGUUUAAAGCAGGCUAACGCUUGAAUACAUUAGCAUGGAAUAAUGAAAUAGGACGAUCGAUCCUAUUUUGUUGGUUUCUAGGAUUGACGUAAUGAUUAAUAGGGAUAGUUGGGGGCAUUAGUAUUCAAUUGUCAGAGGUGAAAUUCUUGGAUUUAUCGAAGACUAACUACUGCGAAAGCAUUUGCCAAGGAUGUUUUCAUUAAUCAAGAACGAAAAGUUAGGGGAUCGAAGACGAUCAGAUACCGUCGUAG